UAACUUCUCCGUCUUUGAUUUCUAUUGCGUGUUUAUCCGAUUUAUCUUUGAUCUUUAUUGCAUCUCUGUCCGAUUGGUGUUCAGUUUCACAAACAAAAAUGGGGAUGUUAUGGUUCUAAUCUCAUUAAUUUAAUUAUUUAUUGUUGUUUGCGUGUUUAUAAACAUCGAUUCAUAAAUAGGUUUAUCAUUGCAUCAUAACUAACACAAAAGAAUAGGAUUAUGACUUUUCGUUGCAGUUUCUGAUCCUACAAUUUAUUCAGCUUUUUAUGUUGAUCUCCUCUUAGUAUCUCAGAAGACAUGUUUUAUUACAUUUUGAUCUUUUGACCGUUUCAAUUGAGUUAAGAAUUUCGAGCCAGGCUUUGUAAAUUCAAUCAAAGUCGUCGAAAUUUGUUUAACUUGAUACGAGACACAAUGAUGGAUUGUGGACGUGUAAGAGAGUGUGGUCAUCAGGCCUUGUUUGCAUUCUUCGUAAUAAUGACAAAUGUUGCAGAUGGCGUAUAGUAGUCACGGUCAAAAACAGUAAUAUCAUUAUAUGAAAUUUAUGGUAUGUGGUUUUAAAAGAAAAGGGAUGGAGUCCCUCGGGAUCCUUGUAAUCUGUGAUGACGACAUCAUCCACUCCAUUUGUCAUUGUUACGACUAAGGGGUGGUUAAAGAUAUUAUAACACUCUUCGCAGAUUCGCUAUAUAUCUGUUUUUGUAUCAUUGUUUGAUCUUCUUGUUGUGCGGUCUCAAGUAUUCAUCUCCUAUAUAGUAUCUCAAAAGACAUGUUUCACCCAACUUUAUCUUCUCACCAUUGCAAUCCAGAACCCAAUCGACCUCCAGUUUGGCACGUUUGUACUACUUGAGGCAUGUUUUGCAAAUCGUGUAGGACUAUUAAAUACUGUUUUCAACCAAAAGUACCAUAAUUAAGUUUUUAUAACAAAGUGUAUAAAAAAAGAAAGUGGGUGUGUAAAGGAAUUUGAUCAUGCGUCGAUUGCAAUUUUGGUUGCAAUGGCAAGUGGCAGAGAUGGUGCCAUCGUCACGUAUUUUGAGGAUGCCCACGGAGUCUCCUAGCCUGUUGUUUGUGCAACCACACAGUAUUUCAAUGUAAUGUGGUGCUCUCACUAUGAUUUGCCCAGCAAAGGCACUCAAUUCCUCAUUGGAAAAAAUAGUCCCAGCUCCUGUUGGUUGUGCAUCCAAACACAAUUCAGUUACAAGUUGAAAAAACUGUAGAAGUUUGAAGUUUAAAUUUUGUUAAGAAUCUUAUUAAUUGCAAUGGUUUUAAAAAUUUAUAAUCAGACCAUGCCUAUAACUAACUUUUCCAAUGAGGAAUUAGUGCCUUUGUUGCGCAAAUCAUGGUGAGAGCACCACAUUACAUUGGAAUAGUGUGUAGUUGCACAAACAACCGGCUUAGAGACUGUGUGGGCAUCCUUAGAAUCAGUAAUGAUGGCACUAUCUUUGCUACUUGUUAUUGCAACGAUGCCUGCAAUCGAUGGUCAAGCUCUUUCACACAUCCACUUCCUUUUUAGUAUCUUCUGUUAAAGAAUAAUUGAUUAUUGUACAUCUAGCUGUUAACAGUGUUUAAUUGUCCUGCGAAGUUAGCAAAACAAGCAUUGGGUGUUAGAAAUUUGCCAAUAUGGAGGACCAAGGUUUGGGUUUUUUAUUGCAACGGUGAGAAGAUAAAGUUGGGUGAAAGGUGUUUUCUUAGAUAUUAUAAAGGAGAUGAAUACGAGACCACACAACCAAGUCUCCCAACGUGAUGAGUUCUUAAGUUGUGUCGCAUGCCACAAGGUGUGUCACUUUGAGCUUAGGACAAGGGAUGCAUGCAUGUCCUACCAUGAUGUAGCGACAAAGGAAAAUCAAACUUGCUCUAACACGAUACCUGCCCGGUGGACAUGUGAAAACAUCGAGGAGAGGAGCUUGAGAACACACGGUGGAUGUCGCAGGAAUAGCAAGUGCAAAAGUUACGAGCAUUGCGUGUGUUUUGGAUGUCAAAUGUGUAGAUUUGAGGACUGUGGACGUGCAAGUGUGUGCUGAUAUCUCUGCAAGCACACAUAAUUAACUGCCAUCAUAUUUUACUUGUUCUAGGAUCUUCAUGGAGGCGAACUUCACAGCCUCUGAUCCUCACUAAAGGUAGGGUGUGUCACUAUUAGUGAUACAUGGAAGCAUCAAGGGAGGGGUUAUCCAUGGAAGCAUCAAGGGAGGCGAAAAUUGUGGUCAUACAGUCGUAAUAUCUUCAACGAAUUAGCGACAAGAUUUUCACCACUGAGUUAAAUAAGCUGCUGUUCUUUCUGUCAGUGAUAUUUGUCUUUAGAAAAAAGUUGCACAUUUUCUUGUAAAUGUUCUAAAUAUAAAUAAACACUUAACAAAUAGUAUGAAAACAAUAAAUAAAACUGUAAAUAAAAACCAAAUCCAUAUAAUUAAAGUUUGUAAUAAUACGCACGGUAUGUUGUAUAAUAAUAACUUAAUUAUCUAUCUAAGAAUUAUUGGGAAUGGCCUAGCUGGGAUUGUGAGUGGUCCCAAGUUGAAGAUGCGGCCCUUCUUGCCUCCAAGGUCUCCACAAUUGUUGAUCAUGAGCAGGCUUAGCGUUUGGCUCAGUCUCAACGUAUUAAUUUUCCUAGAGUUGAGAGCAUACAUAUCUGGCUUGGUCUCAACAUACUUGAUUUUGGGUUAAGACUAUUCGUCAGUGAUUACUGCUAUACAGGGUUGUCUAUGGUGUUUUUUUUUGUGUGUGUCCUAGAUCGAUGACUUCUCUGCGACAGUGUUUCCCAUGUCACUACAAGAAUAAUCAGUAUUAGUGGCGACAGUAUUAGCGGCGACUUCAUAUGUGUCGCCGCUAAAGGGUUCGAUCCGGGUCAAGGGUUACUGAGCAUUUAUUGGCCGUUGGAUGAAGAUCUGAUCCAACGAUCAGGGUAAUGUCUGAUAGUUGUCGCCGCUAAAGGGUUUUAAGCGGAUAAAACCCUUCAUCCCUCCCUUUCCCUCCAUUCUAUCCUACUAUACCCCUUCACCAUCGAUCCGCUGGUCUCCGCCAGCCGUAAUGCGGGGCUUUCAGUGUCUGUGAGCCCGUUCCAAGCUGUGCUCCGUCCACCCCACUCAAAUCACCCAAGAUUCCAGCCAACUCCACUCAAUUCCAAGCACCUCCGGUAACGCCCACUGAAAUCCGACCACCUCCGGCGACAUACACGGUCACCUCCACUAAAAUGCAACCACUUCCGGUCAUCUCCGCUGAAAUCCGGUCAACUCUACUGAAAUCCGGCCACCUCUACUGAAAUCCGGUCACCUUCACUGACAUUCGAUCACCUCCGGUUCGUUCUUUUCAAUUUCUCUUUUUAUAUAUUAAUUUUGUGUAGUACAGUAUGUAUAAGCAUGUAUAUUUGUAGGUUUGUUAUUUUUAUUGUGUUGAACUGUAUUUAUACAUAUAUGUUUGUAGUUUAUUUUUUCAAUUUUGUGUUGAAUUGUAUGUAUAUGGGUAGGUUUAUGGAAAUUGGGGUGUCAAAUAGAUGGCUAAUGGAUAUUUCUUGUAGUGAAAUACUUGUAAUCGUACUUUAUUCAGGGUCGGCUCUGUUAGGAAUAAUCUUGAUCGGGUCAUCGGUACGGGUUGGAUAAUUUGAACGAGUCAAAGUAGCUGAUUAUAUUCAGCCGUCAGUUUGUUUUUAAUACAAUUACAAUUUUAUUAAGUUUAGUUAGAGUUAAUGUGAUGGGUAUAUGCAAUAACUUUUGUUUUUUUUAAGAAAAUGGCGAAACAAUCAAUAGAGGGUAUAUGCAAUAACUUAUGGUUUAGGGCAAUACAUGAUAUGGACUUUGGAGUUGGUCAGUCAACAGCUGCACUUUCAUAUAAUUUGUUUAGUUUAUGUUUGAGGUCAAUUCAUGGUGCUUAUAGCGGUUUGCAAUAAUUUAUAGUUUAUGCGAAUCAAGUAUCCUCGUUGUAUGAAAAAAAAUACCCAUUUGUUUGUUGAUCCAGCAUCCACAUAUUAUACAAACUAAUAUCUUUGUUAUUGGGGUCAUGCUAUAUAUUCUUCUGAGGGGAGUUCCGCCUUUCUGGGCAGAAUCUGAGCACGGGAUAUUCAAUGCAAUCUUGAAAGGGCACGUCGAUUUCACGAGUGAUCCGUGGAUUAAAGAAGAUGGAGAAGCACCCGAUACACCACUUGAUAACGCGGUCCUUGGAAGGCUAAAACAGUUUAAAGCUAUGAAUAACUUUAAGAAAGUUGCACUUCGGGUCAUUGCAGGAUGCCUUUCUGAACAGGUCAUUGCUGCUGAUGCAGAUGGAAAUGGAACCAUAGAUUAUGAAGAGUUCAUAACCGCAACAAUGCAUAUGAAUAGAAUGGAUAGAGAAGACCAUUUGUACACUGCAUUCCAAUAUUUUGAUAAAGAUAACAGUGAAUAGUUCGCGUUUGACAUUCAAUAAAAAUAGUGGUUCCUAGUUUUUAACAGCUAGCUUGUUUGUUCUCAGGUAAAUUACUAUAGAAGAACUAUACUGACGCCGCACAAUACGCCGGACCACCUCCUCUGUGCCGCUGCAUCACCUCGCCGAACCACCUCUUACGCCGGACGACCAGGUACAGACACGACAACGGCGACUCUAACAUGGGCUUUAGCUUUACUAGUCAACCACCAUGUGGUCUUAAAAAUAGCCCAACAAGAGCUUGAAAACCAUGAUGGAAGAGAUAGGAAAGUUGAAGAGUCAGACAUGAACAACUUGGUCUAUCUUCAAGCCAUUAUCAAAGAGACAAUGCAUGAUGCGUCUUUAUCGAGCUGCACCACUUUCUGUUCCACAUGAAUCCACAGAAGACUGCAUUGUAGGAGUUUCUGAUCCCACAAUUUAUUCAGUUUUGAUUGAAGAAUAACAAGUUGUUUAUGUUGAUAUCUGUUGAUGCACUUCGUGUGGAUGCGGCUCGGUUCGGUUCAUCACGGCUCAUCGAGUAUCUAGACUUAACAUCCUCUUGUUAAGUAAUGUGAAUGGAAAUUGUGUGUAGACAUUGGAACAGUUGGAUUGGAAUUCACAUCGAAAAAGAAAUGUCUUGGAAUGACAUACACAUCAUUGAAACAGGGAAUGGCAUUUGGGCUGGAUAUCAUGAUCGAAACAGGGAUGUUGGUUUGAGAUGAAGUUAACGAAACACAUAAAAGGAAUUUGAACUGGAUCGGAACACAUGGGACUUUAUGUAAUCGAAAUAGACCUAUUUCGAUAAUGAAGUAAUGUGUGUCUUCAUGUGUGUUUCGAUGAGUGAUAUAAUGACAACUAUAUCUCUAUUUUGAUAUGUAUAGUUUAGUUUCUCCAUGUUUCGAUGUUCCUUUGUUUAUUUCGUUAUGUUUCGUUGUAAAGGUGUUUGUUUCGUUGUAUUGAUCUCUGGUGUAUGACUAUAAAUACCAGAGACCUCCCCUGUUCUAAAAAAGAGAGCACACCCAGAGAGUAUUGAGAGCAUUCUUGUUGCAUUUUGUACUGUUACUCUGCUGGAAUAGAGAUUGAGCUU
This is an RNA transcript of Helianthus annuus (common sunflower), 5446 nucleotides long. RefSeq lists it as uncharacterized. NCBI's taxonomy places the organism in Eukaryota, Viridiplantae, Streptophyta, Magnoliopsida, Asterales, Asteraceae. The record is from RefSeq and is a predicted model, not a curated record. The transcript has 9 exons.